ACCUACGGGGCGCAGCAGUAGGGAAUCUUCCACAAUGGGCGAAAGCCUGAUGGAGCAACGCCGCGUGGGUGAAGAAGGUCUUCGGAUCGUAAAACCCUGUUGUUAGAGAAGAAAGUGCGUGAGAGUAACUGUUCACGUUUCGACGGUAUCUAACCAGAAAGCCACGGCUAACUACGUGCCAGCAGCCGCGGUAAUACGUAGGUGGCAAGCGUUGUCCGGAUUUAUUGGGCGUAAAGGGAACGCAGGCGGUCUUUUAAGUCUGAUGUGAAAGCCUUCGGCUUAACCGGAGUAUUGCAUUGGAAACU
This 305-nucleotide ribosomal RNA is filed under the name uncultured bacterium. RNAcentral's name for it is "bacterial SSU rRNA". It matches the Rfam family "Bacterial small subunit ribosomal RNA", at positions 337 to 634 of the family's 1533-position model. The record is from RNAcentral.